Molecule: ribosomal RNA, 292 nt
Filed under: uncultured bacterium
Lineage: Bacteria
Also listed under: 2 other names
Description: partial 16S ribosomal RNA
Source: RNAcentral
GGACUACUAGGGUAUCUAAUCCCGUUCGCUCCCCUAGCUUUCGCGCCUCAGCGUCAGAAGAGGUCCAGCACGUCGCUUUCGCCACCGGCGUUCCUUCCGAUAUCAACGCAUUUCACCGCUCCACCGGAAGUUCCACAUGCCCCUACCUCGCUCGAGACAGCCAGUAUCAAAGGCAGUUUUCCGGUUGAGCCGAAAGAUUUCACCCCUGACUUGGCUAUCCGCCUACGCGCCCUUUAAGCCCAGUGAUUCCGAACAACGUUUGCACGGUUCGUCUUACCGCGGCGGCUGGCAC